Molecule: long non-coding RNA, 2808 nt
Organism: Cercocebus atys (sooty mangabey)
Lineage: Eukaryota; Metazoa; Chordata; Mammalia; Primates; Cercopithecidae
Exons: 3
Source: RefSeq, a predicted model, not a curated record
GGACUCGCCCGGGAACGAAAGUGGAAACGGGAAAGGAAAUGGAAGAAGGGAUGCAAGGCACGAAGGAGCUAACCAAUAAGGGGUGGCAGUUACCUGUGGACAAGCAGGGUUUGAAAAUAGAACUGGCCCCUGUGAUACUGGACAUGAAUUGACUAAAUAACAAAGCCCCUCCAUAACUUAUGUAAUCCAUAAUAGCUCAAAAAUAUUAAUCGAAUAAAUGAAUUGACUGUUUAAGAGUAUUACAUACAAAAUAUAAUGCUGUUCCUGUUUCUGCACAAUGGAGAAUUCAUUUAAUUCACAAUUCCAAGCAAGAUUUUAUUUUUACUAUUAAGUAGAUUUACAGUGACCAUCCUAACACAAAACCAGAAUACCAUAGCAUCAAUUUCUAAGUCCUUAUAGAGAACAUGGACCCAAAUCUCAAGUUAGAGAGAAAUAAGAGCAAUAUGACCUCGUCAUAUUUGGUCAUAACAAGUUGUUCUUUGUUACAUGAAAUAGAUUCCAUUCACCAUUAAGCCAUUACAUUCAAUAGUUGGCAUUGAGGGAUGCUGAUCCAGGGGCUGUCAGAUACAACCAGACUCUGAGUCCUAGCUUGGGCUCAGCUAGAAUGCUAGCUUAACAACAACAAUAUUAACAACAAAAAUAACAAUGACUUAAGAUAAAUCUCUCACACAUAGAAAUAAGUCUGAAAGUAGGAAUUACAGCUAGAUAUGGUGGCUCCACAAUUUUCUCAAGGACCCAAGUUCCCACCUUUUUUCUGUACCAUGCCAGCCUUGCUUCCCACCUUCAGAAUCACGUCAUGUUCCAAGAUAGCUAUUGGCUCUCCAGCCAUCACCACUGAUUUUCAGGCUAAAACCUAAGAGGAAGGUCAGGUGGGCAAAUGGACCUUCCAUCUGAGUUAGUUUCCUUUAACCAAUCUUCAGAGAACUCUCACAAGUAUCUCUCUUAAAGAGCUCAAGGCCAGAAUUUAGUCCCAUAGCCAAAUUUAGCUGCAAAAUCUGGAAGGCAAUAUGUUUUUUAUUAUGGGAAGCAAUAUAAAAACUCCGGUUUGUUUCUAAAGAGAAAGGGAUGAGUAGAUGUUGUAGUAAGAAACUGGCGAGUCCUACCACAAUAAUACUCUAAAAUUAAAUAUGUGAUUAGUAAUUCACUUGUUGAAGGAAAAACUGAAGAUCCCAAUGCAAGUGGUGUAAGAUAAUAAUUUUGUAUACUCAGUUGAAAUCCAAACAAAUAUGUGCAUACACACGCAUAAUCUUAACAUCAUUCCCUUAGCCAUAUUUAUUAAAAGCUGUAACCAUUUCUUUAGUGGGCAGAAACAUGCAUCUGCUAUUACUAGACACAUAUAUCCUUUAAUGUCUAUCAUAUGUGAGUAUAUAUAGUAAAUUAUAUACAAUUCUUAUGACAGCAUGUGUGCUCAAUAAUCCUGAACAAUCAAUAUCAGAGUGUAGAACGGCAAAAUUAAGCAAGAAACUUUCCUAAUAGUUUUCCAUCGUAAAGUUUAUUUCAGAUUAAACAGUUACAUAUCUGAAGAAGAAAUGAAUGUCUUCACAAUCACUUCUUUGUGAUUUUCUUUCCCAGUUGAUUCCCAAAUCAAUUCUUUUCCACACAGUGAUUUAUUUGAUAGUUGUUCUUUGUAAUAAAGAGGAAUUAUAUCAAAGCAUUAAAUAUUGCUACUUGUAAACUUGGAGUAAACCUGUUAUUUUGUCUCAGUUCUAUAUUUUUUUCAUGCCCUUCUCACAUUUUCUGUGUUUCCCUAAGAAGCCAUGAUUCAAAAAAAUAUGGACAAUUUUAUUUUCCCUAAAGAUUUUUGUGAAGAAUGUAAAAUUAGAAUUUGUUAAAACGAUGUCUCUACAGUCCCCAUGCAUUUUUGAUUAAUACCAAAUAAAUACAACCUUGAAUUUUUAUUUGUAUUUUUUAAUUAAAAAUAUCAAUUCAGAAAUUUUAAGGCAGAAGGGGAUCUUAGUAUUGAUCACAUCAUUCAGUUUGCCAGAUCUGGACAUUGGCAAAUUUAUGUAGAGUGAUUGAACCCUGAAAGUUAUAAGUAAUAAACCUAAAUUCAUACAUUAUUUUACAGUGUAAAAACCAUGUAAUUACAUGAAAAGUAUCUGCUAAUCAGAAUAAAAUUAACAUAGACCAGUUAUAUGUUCAUUUUUCUACUCAAGAAGCCAAAUUAAGAGUGUAAAGAUCCAAAACAAAUAUAGAAAUCAGAAGACAAUGACCUACAGAAGUAACUAACAAUGCCAAUAGAGAUCUAAUAUAUUGCAAAUCUACAGAAAGUCUUCCCUAUUGGUUUUCAAGUUCCUAUUCUCAGCGUAAAGGAAAUGAUCUUUUUCUAUUUUAAUUAUCUUGUUUGUUUUAGGGGACAAAACUUAUUAGGCACCUAUCUUUAUGUUAUCAGCUAUAAUUUCUGAUAAAAUUUUUAAUUUCUUAUUCAAUCAUCUAUUUAGUACGCCUUUUUUAAAGUAUCUAGUAUAUUCCAAGCAUUAUGCUGGACAUCAGGAUAUACAAAGAUGAUUAUGAACCAGUCAUUGUUUCCAAAGAGAAAGGAACAUAAAGAGAUUAUUAUAAACUCAGGUGGUACAAGCAGUAAUUUCUAUAGGCAGAGGUCAUUAUGAGAACUGAGGAAAGGCACUCACCCAGCUUGGAGAAAGUAAUUACUAAACUAAGACAUAUACAAUAAAUAGGAUUAAUAGUUAAUCACAGGAGGAUCAUUCUUGUCGGAGGAGAGCUCAUGAACAAGGGCAUAAAAGAAAGAAAGCUGUGUAUGAAGAGAGAAAAGAGGCCAGGUGUGGUGGCUCAAGCCUGUAAUCCCAG